GGGAAGUAGCUCAGUUGGGAGAGCACUUGACUGGCAGUCAAGAGGUCGAGGGUUCGAUCCCCUUCUUCUCC
RNAcentral lists this transfer RNA (71 nucleotides) under marine eukaryotic metagenome. It matches the Rfam family "tRNA". From Rfam's summary of the family: Transfer RNA (tRNA) molecules are approximately 80 nucleotides in length. Their secondary structure includes four short double-helical elements and three loops (D, anti-codon, and T loops). The record is from RNAcentral.